GCCCGGUGGUCUAAUGGUAAGACACCGUACCGGCAUUCGGGUUCGAGUCCCGGCUGGAGCA
Molecule: transfer RNA, 61 nt
Filed under: Exocentrus adspersus
Lineage: Eukaryota; Metazoa; Arthropoda; Insecta; Coleoptera; Cerambycidae
Description: tRNA-OTHER
Source: RNAcentral